Molecule: long non-coding RNA, 834 nt
Organism: Passer domesticus (house sparrow)
Lineage: Eukaryota; Metazoa; Chordata; Aves; Passeriformes; Passeridae
Exons: 3
Source: RefSeq, a predicted model, not a curated record
CCUCAAGCUAGCAUGAGGAUGUGGGGAGCAGCAUCCCUCAGUUCAGACUGGAUGAUCCACAUGAGAAAACACCAUCAUUAGUGGAUGUAAACAUGGUCCCUAACCUUUACAGACCGAUAUCAAGGAUCAAAAGAGCAGAGGAUUUUCUUCCAAUAGACUCAGUUGAAUCCUGUCUUUCCAAGUAAAGUGGAUACUGGCAUUCAUGAGUUUCUCUUCAUUCUCAAAGAUUGACAAGCCUAGAGGAUGAGGCUGUCUAUUCAUAGAGCAGGUUUGGCGUGGGCAGCAGCCCCCACUGUUCCCCUCGCUGUCCUGCUGGUGUCAGCCCUGACCUCGGGAGCUGCUCGGAGCCCAGGGCUGCAGCCCUUCCAGAGCCCUUCUCCAGGUGACUGAUGCUCAGUGCCAGAGCAGAAGUGGCUCUGCAGAGCCAACAGCUCCUCCCAGACAUUGCAUUCAUCACUCACCAGCCGAGCUGCUCUGAGCUUGCACUUCCAAACAACCAUCUGAAUUCCUGCCCCAGCCAAUCUUUUUCAUUCUGUCUCGUCUUUCAUUCUCUUAACCACUGCUCACUUCAGAUGGCAUAAUUAAAAUCUAGGAGCAAAAUAUGGGUCUUCUCUCGUGCAAAAUUAUUUUAAGUAUUACUAGUAUAGUCAAAGAAAUAAGAAAAUAAAAUUUUACAAGUUGUUGUUUAUUUAAUGUUUCCUUAAUAUAGACAGCAGGUUAACACAGGGUAAAAAAAGGAAGUGCCAUAAAUUAACCUUUGCAGUUUAUUUUUCUCUUACAGAAUCACAGAAUAAUGAGGUUGGAGGAGACCUCUAAGGUCAUCGAGUCCAACCU